CUACGGGACGCAGCAGUGAGGAAUUUUGCGCAAUGGGGGAAACCCUGACGCAGCAACGCCGCGUGAGUGAAGAAGGAUUUCGGUUCGUAAAGCUCUGUCAAGUGGAAAGAAAUUAUUGAUUGCUAAUACCAAUCAAUAUUGACGGUACCACUGAAGGAAGCACCGGCUAACUCCGUGCCAGCAGCCGCGGUAAUACGGAGGGUGCAAGCGUUAUUCGGAAUUAUUGGGCGUAAAGGGCGCGCAGGCGGUUGUAUAAGUCAGAUGUGAAAGCCCCGGGCUUAACCCGGGAAGCGCAUUUGAAACUAUAUGACUUGAGUAUGGGAGAGGGAAGUGGAAUUUCUGGUGUAGAGGUGAAAUUCGUAGAUAUCAGAAGGAACACCGGUGGCGAAGGCGACUUCCUGGACCAAUACUGACGCUGAGGCGCGAAGGCGUGGGGAGCGAACAGGAUUAGAUACCCUCGUAGUC
RNAcentral lists this ribosomal RNA (465 nucleotides) under uncultured bacterium. RNAcentral's name for it is "partial 16S ribosomal RNA". It matches the Rfam family "Bacterial small subunit ribosomal RNA", at positions 339 to 795 of the family's 1533-position model. The record is from RNAcentral.